GUACUCAGUUCGGCGGUACAUAUACUUAAAUUGGAACGAUACAGAGAAAAUUAGAAUGGCCGCUGCGCAAGUAUGACAAGCAAAAGAGAGAGUGCGACAUUCUU
Small nuclear RNA from Schistocerca gregaria, 104 nucleotides. The record is from RefSeq and is a predicted model, not a curated record. Lineage: Eukaryota; Metazoa; Arthropoda; Insecta; Orthoptera; Acrididae.